Physeter macrocephalus (sperm whale) is the source of this 212-nucleotide long non-coding RNA. RefSeq lists it as uncharacterized. The transcript is spliced from 3 exons. The record is from RefSeq and is a predicted model, not a curated record. Lineage: Eukaryota; Metazoa; Chordata; Mammalia; Artiodactyla; Physeteridae.
CAAGAAGUGAAAUGGGACUUCUCGCUGGAUAAGCAUUUAAGUCUACAGAUUUCCCUCUAAGUACUGCAUUAGCUGCAUCCCCAAAGUGUUGCAAAUGAUGGGAGAAGGCACUUGACCAUAGGAAACUCCCCCUGGCCGCAACCCCCAAAUUCCUACCAGAUCUGACCACUGGGAUCCUGAGCCUUGGGCUGUGAAUCCCCAGUGGAAGGAGC